UAAGGAGGAUAUCAUUAUCUCGAUCGACUACUAUGCUGACAAGUAUGUGGCCAGGGCUAAGCGCUAUGCCAAUAACGCUAUGGAGGCGCUGUACCAGGACCUGGAGAAGAAGUACUAGCCGAAGAACUGAAAUGCACGAUGGUGUUGGGAGUAAUCUUUUGGUGUCUUGUUCGUAGUGUAGCUUCUAUGUUAAGCUGAACUUGUGUGUUCAGUUUCCUAAGUAUGUGUAUUUACCUAGCUGUAGUGCAUGCUGAUGGUGAACCUAUGCUCCACUGAAUGUCUGUUUAAUUAACUAAGUGUAGAGCAUGCUGAGAUGCUGUUAGCUAUCUAGAUGGAUGGAAGAACUGUUCUAGACUUGUGAACCACUAUAUUUGGCAAC
This 379-nucleotide long non-coding RNA is filed under the name Sorghum bicolor (sorghum). RNAcentral's name for it is "long non-coding RNA (SBIC_LNC006239)". Lineage: Eukaryota; Viridiplantae; Streptophyta; Magnoliopsida; Poales; Poaceae. The record is from RNAcentral.